UUUCUUGACUCAGAUUCACACUCCACAGUCUUUCCAGGAGCUAGAUGGAUGGUAUUAUCCAGCCAUCAUCCUACAAGCCUAAAGCCAAGUGGAAAACCACCAUCCUCACAGCAGACGAAGUUAUACGGAAGCGUCUCCUCAUUGAUGGAGAUGGUGCUGGAGAUGAUCGGAGAAUUAAUCUGCUAGUGAAGAGUUUCAUUAAAUGGUGCAACUCUGGGUCCCAGGAAGAGGGCUAUAGCCAGUACCAGCGUAUGCUGAGCACGCUGUCUCAAUGUGAAUUUUCAAUGGGCAAAACUUUACUAGUAUAUGAUAUGAAUCUCAGAGAAAUGGAAAAUUAUGAAAAAAUUUACAAGGAAAUAGAAUGUAGCAUAGCUGGAGCACAUGAAAAAAUUGCUGAGUGCAAAAAGCAAAUUCUUCAAGCCAAACGAAUACGAAAAAAUCGCCAAGAAUAUGAUGCUUUGGCAAAAGUGAUUCAGCACCAUCCAGACAGGCAUGAGACAUUAAAGGAACUAGAGGCUCUGGGAAAAGAAUUAGAGCAUCUUUCACACAUUAAAGAAAGUGUUGAAGAUAAGCUGGAAUUGAGACGGAAACAGUUUCACGUUCUUCUUAGUACCAUCCAUGAACUUCAGCAAACAUUGGAAA
RNAcentral lists this small RNA (642 nucleotides) under Pongo abelii (Sumatran orangutan). RNAcentral describes it as "processed transcript". Lineage: Eukaryota; Metazoa; Chordata; Mammalia; Primates; Hominidae. The record is from RNAcentral.